AACCCCAACCAGAACCCAGCUGCGUGCGAUACCUCGCCGGCGGCGCGGAGCGCCGCCGCAACUACUCUGAGCGACCCCAGCCAGAACCCAGCUCGGUAUCGCGCUCGAUACCUCGCCGGCGACGCUCCGCGACGCCGCAACUACUCUGAGCAAGAGCGCUCCUUCCUUCGCCCCGAAUCCUCGAUACCUCGCCGGCACCGCCUGCAACUACUCCAAGGACUCCCCCAAGCCAGAACCUGGCUCGGUAUCGCGCGUGGAGGCGUGCGAUACCUCGCCGGCGACGCUCCGCGACGCCGCAACUACUCCGAGCAGCCCCAGCCAGAACCCGGCACGCCUCACUCCGAGCAGGAGUGCUCCUUCUUCUGCCCAGACAGGUAUCAGCUUGUCUCUAGUGUAGUUAAAAAAUGGACUCCUCGGUUGGAUCCGCUGGAAGAAUGA
RNAcentral lists this long non-coding RNA (438 nucleotides) under Oryza sativa aromatic subgroup. Its description in RNAcentral is "lncRNA OsARC_01g0041610". Lineage: Eukaryota; Viridiplantae; Streptophyta; Magnoliopsida; Poales; Poaceae. The record is from RNAcentral.